GAUGAACGCUGGCGGCGUGCCUAAUACAUGCAAGUCGGGCGAACAGAUGAGGAGCUUGCUCCUCUGACGUGAGCGGCGGACGGGUGAGUAACACGUGGCUAACCUACCUAUAAGACUGGGGUAACUUCGGGAAACCGGAGCUAAUACCGGAUAAUAUAUUGAACCGCAUGGUUCAAUAGUGAAAGACGGUUUUGCUGUCACUUAUAGAUGGAUCCGCGCCGCAUUAGCUAGUUGGUAAGGUAACGGCUUACCAAGGCAACGAUGCGUAGCCGACCUGAGAGGGUGAUCGGCCACACUGGAACUGAGACACGGUCCAGACUCCUACGGGAGGCAGCAGUAGGGAAUCUUCCGCAAUGGGCGAAAGCCUGACGGAGCAACGCCGCGUGAGUGAAGAAGGUCUUCGGAUCGUAAAACUCUGUUAUUAGGGAAGAACAAAUGUGUAAGUAACUAUGCACGUCUUGACGGUACCUAAUCAGAAAGCCACGGCUAACUACGUG
RNAcentral lists this ribosomal RNA (497 nucleotides) under uncultured bacterium. RNAcentral describes it as "partial 16S ribosomal RNA". It matches the Rfam family "Bacterial small subunit ribosomal RNA", at positions 28 to 507 of the family's 1533-position model. The record is from RNAcentral.